AAAUUAAUUUCUCCAAUAUUCUUUUUUUUUUUUUUUCUUUUCACAGACUUCAAAAAUUUUCACAAUAAUUAUUUUAUUUUCUUCGAGCUUGCUGGGCUCAUAACCUAUUAGAUUGAAAAGUUUUAUUGAAGUGAAAUUUGAAAAAAUAAUUUCUCGAACAUACAAAUACAUAAAAUCAUUGCCUAGUAACAUAAUAACAAAGAACGAUACAAGUAGAUAUUAAUUUGUUAAACAUAUACUUCAACAAUAUCAACUCUCGAAAAAUAGAACUUCUACCGAAAUUAGUGUGGAGGGACUCACUUAAGGAUCAAUAUCAGAGAAACGUAACUAAGAAUUUGUACGGGGUUUAAGGGGAAGACAUAUACAUAGUGCAAAAAAUGAUAUCUAAAUUGGAGGACAACUGUGCAAAAUGGAAUCUGAUAGUCAAAACAGACGAAUCAAAAAUUAUGAUAUUCAAAAAAGGUGGAAGACAUUCUGGGCAAGAUAGGUGGACAUACCGUGGAGAAGAAAUUGAAAUAUGUUCUCAAUACAACUAACGAGGCAUUAUUUUAAUAUCACAAAUGAAGUUUCUAUUGAACAUACAGAAUAGAAAUGAGCAAGCAAAGGCUGCAAUAAAUAUUA
Molecule: long non-coding RNA, 621 nt
Organism: Stomoxys calcitrans (stable fly)
Lineage: Eukaryota; Metazoa; Arthropoda; Insecta; Diptera; Muscidae
Exons: 2
Source: RefSeq, a predicted model, not a curated record